CCAGAGCUGGACGCAGCGCUGCAGGGGGGUCUCAGAAGAGUGGAGCAGAGGGGCAGAGCCCCCCUCCUCGCCCUGCUGCCCAUGCUGCUGGUGAUGCAGCCCAGGGCACAGUUGGCUUUCUGGGCUGUGAGCAUGUAAUUGCCAGAUGAUCAGUACCCGCAGGUCCUUCCCUGCAGGACUGCUCUCCCUCCCUUCACCCCCCAGCCUACGCUGGUACUGGGGAUUGCCCCAACCCGGGUGCAGACCCUGCACUUGUCCCUGUUGGACCUCAGGGGGCUCACAGAGGCUCCCUCCUCCGGCCUGUCUUCCUGAAGUAACUCUGCUGCGGGGCCGUGCCUGCUGAGCAUGAAGGUGAUGCUUGAGUACUAGCAGGUGUUCCUGUGCUAGUGUUAUGCUGGAUGUAUCUCUUUCAGUCAAAAAAGCUGUCAGAAGAAUUUAAUGUGUCAGUAUUUUAUUCGAUAAAUCUGUAACUGGAAUGUCUGUCAUCUCGGUUUUAAGCAUACUGAGAACUGUUAGCUUACUUGUGUCUUAAUUUAAGGUCGCUAAAUUAUGAAAAACUAUCAGGAGUAAGCAAUCUGGGGGAGCUGUGCUUCAUUUUAGGGGUGACGCAACCGUUCAUAUCAAGAUAAAUAACUUAUUUCUGAACGCCAUUCCGAAAACUUUUUUUUUCUGACCUUUACUAACUUUAAAGACAGAUAAAAUCACAUCUCUCCAUUUUAUUGCCUAGAGAUGAAAAUACGGGCUGUUUUGCUGAUCUGAGUCUUAAUAAAAAGUAAUUCUGGGAAAAUGCUUUCCAAGGUACUUUUGUUAUCUGUUGGCCCUGUUCGUACCAGGGAAUGCUAUAGUGCUUUCAGCGGCCAUUUUGCAGCAGCCCAACGACCGGAUGGUAGCAGGGCUCCCUGUUAGCAAGUGCUCACCAGCUGCCCAAGUCUGAUGUACUUGGUCUAAUUCUCAUUCACUUCACGGCUUUGUGCAAGACAAGAAUAAAUGCUUUCUGUGCCUGUUGAAACUCAUAAAAGAAGGUAAAGCAAACUUUUCCAAGACGUACUUUUCAGGCUUUGUGUUUGACAGCUACAAGUGAAACAGCAAGGGUGCGACCUCUCUGAAUUUGUCCCGUUACACUGGGGAAAUAAAGGCUGCAUUUGUGUGCUCUAGGCGGGUGUUCUAUCUUUCCAGCCUUCCUUUGAAUUCAUUGUGGAACGGCAUUGUCUGAAAGUGCUACUAUGAUUGCUUUGCAGUUGCAGCAGCUGAAAACACCACACAGCAAGAUGGUAAAACUGAUUUAAUUUCCACCUUCGUACGCAAGUGGACAGUUGUCUUUCCAGCUCUGAAGACAGUUGAACCUCAACCUUUUGGUCUUCAAACACCAGGCCCCUUGUUUCAAGGUGUUGAAAAUGAUUGACUGGCUUCCAGCUCAUUAGAGACAACUUUCUAACUCAACAGCUGCUGAUGCCACUGUUCCUCUCAUUGUCUGGUACCAGCAAAGUCUGCCUGAAGGCAGCUUGGAGUCGCCUUGUGAUCUUUGCAAUUUGUCUCCCAUUACCCCAGUUCCACUGGAUUUAUAAUUAUUUGUAGGAGCUGCUUUCUUAGUAGCCUGCCUGUGCUGAGCACCUCUUGGCAAGCUGUAAUUACUUAAUAAAAGACAUUUUCCUUCUUGUUGCAGUUGAGACUUUGGAUGUACUUGAAGCCCAGCAUGCUCACAAACAUUUGGGAGGGUGACUGGUGAAUGACUACUGUCAUGAGAGCUCUAGGUUGGCACAAACCCCCCCCCGCAAUGUAACUUUGAACAAACAUCGCCAUUCUUAUGGAUGCUCUGUUCAGCCAGUGUACUUACGUGUCUCAGUGUUGGCACAGCGUAUCUUUGCUGGUUGGUGCUUUUGUGGCUCUCUUUUUCUUCAGUACUUCUCCAUAUUCUCUGCCUUCCCAGGCACCCCACGCUCAUGGAUCUCUCGAGAAUCCUGUCGAACGUCCUGUACCCCUGCUCCCUUUCCCAGCCCUGGCUCAGACCUUGAGUCUUUUCUUCUACUCACCAAUUAGUGCAGCUUGAUGUUUGCUAGCAAAUUACAAGCACACAGGACUAAAUUCACAAAGGAAAUGUAAACACAGACAGGUUAACUUCAUAGAUUCCUAAAAAAGAAGUCUUCCAGUGGACAUGAAAAAAGCCUUUAAAAUAUUAACAAAAAUAGAUGUGUUGUGUAGCCAGCUCAAAUUUAGUGACAAAUUAUUGCUGUUGGCACAGACAGAGUAAGUGAGAAUGUUUGCUACAGUCAUUUUUGCAGUCUGUGAAAAGGGCUGCUGGCACUGACACCCCUCAGAUGAGCAUGUACAUCCCUGUCCCUCUGGUGCUGACACCCCAACCUGUGGUCCCUGUCACCCAUGUCCCCUGAUCCUUCCUUUCCCAUGGCUUCGGCCCUUCCCCUACACAUCCCAUAGUAAGUUUUGUGCAGUCCCCCAAGCCCCCUCAAAUAUCCCUUAAUAUUCACACUGUGUUUCCUCUUUCUUAUCAGUUACAAAAUUGAGGCUGACUAUCUCCAAGGCAAGAGUAGCUCUUUUAAUGGCCCAUCGGUCAGCAUCUGAUGAGCUCUGGCCUCCGUUAUUCUCUCUCUCAUCACCUGCUCAUCGAUGUUUGCAUGUCUGCGUGUUUAAUUUAGCAUUUUCCUCGUUAUUUGUUAUUUCUAUGAGAUGGAAUAGUCCUUAACCAAAUAACUUACUGAACCAGAUGCUCUUGUAUUUCCCAUGUCCUCACGCCAGCCUCCCCGAGGCAGGCAGCUUGGCUGCAGUGGGCAGGAUGAUGCUGUGUAGAGGCAGCUCUGUGGUGCCUCUGCUGCAGAUGUCCAGGCAGGCGGCAGCUCUAAGGACCUGGAGACAAAGGGAAGGGAAUGAAUGCCUAAAAGCAAGAGGAGGAUGGGGGAGGGAGGGAAAAAAACUGCACGAGUUCAGAGAAGGACGAGCGUGUGCAAGGACUCAACCACACAGAUGCAUCAGCGUUUUGCCAGCAAUCUUGUACCCACAGAAGCCUCCUCCCUUGCUGGCAGAAGCUCGGCUCUUGCCGGCUGGGGGAGCAGGACGCAGUUCCAGCUCCUCGCGCAGAUGUUCGUCCUGCCUUGGCAGGAACACCCGAACGCCUCGGGCAAGGGGAAGGCGUCCUGCCUGGGGGGGUAAGAUGCUGGCAGCUGCUUGGUUUUGCAAAGGGGAUGGAGCAAAAAGCAGGGGACUCGGACACGUGGCAGGUUCUUCAUAUGUGCCCAGAGUGUCUAGAGGAUGUCAGCCGCUCUGCGCUGUCCUGGGCAGCAUCCUUGUGCCAAAUGCAUAAUGGCCUUGAGGAACAGCCAAUGCUGGGAUGUGAGCAGGGAAGAGCCAGCAGGUGGGCUGUGGGUGCUAGGAGAUGGGUGCUGGGAUGCUGUGCAUGGAGAGAUGGGCUGGAGCCAGGCACGCUCGAUACAGGCAUGCGCAGGGCAGUGUUUCUGGGGGAAAGAGCAUGGUGGCCCUGCAGAUCUGCCUCUUCCCGUGGCUCUGGUCUCCUGAAGCUGUAGACAGCGGAGCUCUUGCUCUGUAACCCUGUUCUGUGGCCAUGGUGGGUAGAGCCUGCCGACUCUGAUCCUAACCUCCCUGACGGAUCCAUCUUCUUCUUGUUCAGAAGGAACUUGAGCCACAGCCCAGAGGGACACUGCUUCUCUCCAUUGACUCUUCAGAUAGGAGGAGGUCUGUGUACCAAGGGCUGGAAUAUCACUGUUUUGAGGUGAUGCUCAUUAAAAACCUCUAAUACUUCUUUGAUAGCCUAUUGCUUACAACUUCAGUCUCAACAAGUGAGAAAGAUCAUUACACUGGCAACUACAAAGACAGAGAUUUAUUUAAACUGUCAUUGGAUUAAUAUUUUGCCAGACCAGAGCAAUAUUUCAGCAGAGAAGAAAGAUUUAUGUAUCUGAAGGUUGAGUUCAGAAGAGAUGCUUUGAAGAGAUAUUCACUGGCAGUAUGUAUAUUGUAAGCAGAUUAUUGAGAAUGCAAGGCAAAAGAAACAGAAGAAACAAAAAACCUUAAGUAUGCUACCGACAGUAAGAAGACAUUAAAAUGUCAUUGGGAAUCUUAGUUUAGGAAUUGCUUCUCUGUUAUUUACAAUUUUACUGUUUGUAUCCAUCAGAUGAUAGGAAGAAAAAACCACAUCAAAUGUUCAUAAUUCCUGCUUUACUGUAUCGGAGCAAAGCUGCAGGUCCAUCUACAUUAGAAGAAAUAAUUUGCCAUCUGUAACCAAGAUCAGAUACGUCUUCUCUGAUUUUGAAGUAUCAGUGAUCAGGCACAGAAAAGAUGAAGAAAUAGGUGCUUUGGGGGUUUUGUUUCUGGAACAUCUUGUUUUACUGCCUGAGGACUAACACAGUUUCUAAGUACCAUCAUCAAUCUCAGCCCAGAGUUACCCAAAUAUAAGCAGUGACUGGUGCUGCGUGAGAGCCCGAGACAAGAGGUUCACGCCUCCCACGUGGGAUGGAGCCCUCUGCCCUCGGACUCCAUGAAAUCCAUAUACCUUUAGUAAGAUGACAGUUCCCUGUAGAAGAAUGGCUGCAGAAGCGUGGCCUUAGAAUCUCUGAAGAUCUGCACAAUCCAGGCCUGGUAUUAGAAUAGGCCUGUAAUCAGAAUUGUACUGAAGCUGCUGUGCUGAAGUUAACAAGAAAGGUAGCCUUGAGCUAUUCUUGAAUCCUGAGACCAAGUAAUUAUGUUGUGCCAACAGGCUGUGGCUGUAACAAGAUACAGCUGCUGGGAAAGCAGGUGCAGGGCCAAGAAAGAUAGGGACCGGCAUGGGAAAAUAGGGACUAACAAACUACAAGGCUGAAGCACAGCAACACAAUUAGCUACAUGGAUAGAAUGCUUAUUUUAGUCAUGAUAAUUAGGGGUGUGAGAACCGCGCGCGUUUAGAGACUACUAACCAAUUGUAUUUCUGCUUUACGAAUAUGCAUGUGUAUCGGUUCUAUAUAAGUAGUGUUAGAAACUAAUAAAGUUGAGCAAGAUGCGUAACUCA
Falco peregrinus (peregrine falcon) is the source of this 5008-nucleotide long non-coding RNA. RefSeq lists it as uncharacterized. The record is from RefSeq and is a predicted model, not a curated record. The transcript has 2 exons. NCBI's taxonomy places the organism in Eukaryota, Metazoa, Chordata, Aves, Falconiformes, Falconidae.